This 474-nucleotide ribosomal RNA is filed under the name uncultured organism. RNAcentral describes it as "partial 16S ribosomal RNA". It matches the Rfam family "Bacterial small subunit ribosomal RNA", at positions 331 to 797 of the family's 1533-position model. The record is from RNAcentral.
GUACACUCCUACGGGAGGCAGCAGUGGGGAAUAUUGCACAAUGGGCGCAAGCCUGAUGCAGCCAUGCCGCGUGUAUGAAGAAGGCCUUCGGGUUGUAAAGUACUUUCAGCGGGGAGGAAGGCGAUAAGGUUAAUAACCUUGUUGAUUGACGUUACCCGCAGAAGAAGCACCGGCUAACUCCGUGCCAGCAGCCGCGGUAAUACGGAGGGUGCAAGCGUUAAUCGGAAUUACUGGGCGUAAAGCGCACGCAGGCGGUCUGUCAAGUCGGAUGUGAAAUCCCCGGGCUCAACCUGGGAACUGCAUUCGAAACUGGCAGGCUAGAGUCUUGUAGAGGGGGGUAGAAUUCCAGGUGUAGCGGUGAAAUGCGUAGAGAUCUGGAGGAAUACCGGUGGCGAAGGCGGCCCCCUGGACAAAGACUGACGCUCAGGUGCGAAAGCGUGGGGAGCAAACAGGAUUAGAAACCCUAGUAGUCCC